CCAACUGGAGUUGUUACUGGCAUACCACUGGAGUUGCCCUGCCAAGCUGAUGUAGAGGCAGGGGGUGUUGACGGCGUUCCUAGCUCUAGCGCGUCCUCCUGACAACCGUGGAUGAGGCUUGUGUACUCCACGGUGAAGAUGUCAUCACCAUGUGCCACCGCAGCAUCUUCCUCCACGCCAUCAGACUAGUUCCACUGGACCUCCUC
RNAcentral lists this long non-coding RNA (206 nucleotides) under Setaria viridis. RNAcentral describes it as "long non-coding RNA (SVIR_LNC009502)". Lineage: Eukaryota; Viridiplantae; Streptophyta; Magnoliopsida; Poales; Poaceae. The record is from RNAcentral.